GACGAACGCUGGCGGCGUGCCUAAUACAUGCAAGUAGAACGCUGAAGAGAGGAGCUUGCUCUUCUUGGAUGAGUUGCGAACGGGUGAGUAACGCGUAGGUAACCUGCCUUGUAGCGGGGGAUAACUAUUGGAAACGAUAGCUAAUACCGCAUAACAAUGGAUGACACAUGUCAUUUAUUUGAAAGGGGCAAUUGCUCCACUACAAGAUGGACCUGCGUUGUAUUAGCUAGUAGGUGAGGUAAUGGCUCACCUAGGCGACGAUACAUAGCCGACCUGAGAGGGUGAUCGGCCACACUGGGACUGAGACACGGCCCAGACUCCUACGGGAGGCAGCAGUAGGGAAUCUUCGGCAAUGGGGGCAACCCUGACCGAGCAACGCCGCGUGAGUGAAGAAGGUUUUCGGAUCGUAAAGCUCUGUUGUAAGUCAAGAACGGGUGUGAGAGUGGAAAGUUCACACUGUGACGGUAGCUUACCAGAAAGGGACGGCUAACUACGUGCCAGCAGCCGCGGUAAUACGUAGGUCCCGAGCGUUGUCCGGAUUUAUUGGGCGUAAAGCGAGCGCAGGCGGUUUGAUAAGUCUGAAGUUAAGGCUGUGGCUCAACCAUAGUUCGCUUUGGAAACUGUCAAACUUGAGUGCAGAAGGGGAGAGUGGAAUUCCAUGUGUAGCGGUGAAAUGCGUAGAUAUAUGGAGGAACACCGGUGGCGAAAGCGGCUCUCUGGUCUGUAACUGACGCUGAGGCUCGAAAGCGUGGGGAGCGAACAGGAUUAGAUACCCUGGUAGUCCACGCCGUAAACGAUGAGUGCUAGGUGUUGGAUCCUUUCCGGGAUUCAGUGCCGCAGCUAACGCAUUAAGCACUCCGCCUGGGGAGUACGACCGCAAGGUUGAAACUCAAAGGAAUUGACGGGGGCCCGCACAAGCGGUGGAGCAUGUGGUUUAAUUCGAAGCAACGCGAAGAACCUUACCAGGUCUUGACAUCCCGAUGCUAUUUCUAGAGAUAGAAAGUUACUUCGGUACAUCGGUGACAGGUGGUGCAUGGUUGUCGUCAGCUCGUGUCGUGAGAUGUUGGGUUAAGUCCCGCAACGAGCGCAACCCCUAUUGUUAGUUGCCAUCAUUCAGUUGGGCACUCUAGCGAGACUGCCGGUAAUAAACCGGAGGAAGGUGGGGAUGACGUCAAAUCAUCAUGCCCCUUAUGACCUGGGCUACACACGUGCUACAAUGGUUGGUACAACGAGUUGCGAGUCGGUGACGGCGAGCUAAUCUCUUAAAGCCAAUCUCAGUUCGGAUUGUAGGCUGCAACUCGCCUACAUGAAGUCGGAAUCGCUAGUAAUCGCGGAUCAGCACGCCGCGGUGAAUACGUUCCCGGGCCU
RNAcentral lists this ribosomal RNA (1368 nucleotides) under uncultured bacterium. RNAcentral's name for it is "bacterial SSU rRNA". It matches the Rfam family "Bacterial small subunit ribosomal RNA", at positions 28 to 1381 of the family's 1533-position model. The record is from RNAcentral.